GCCCGGCGCGGUGGCGCAUGCCUGUAGUCCCAGCUACUCGGGAGGCUGAGGUGAGAGGAUCGCUUGAGCCCAGGAGUUCUGGGCUGUAGUGCGCUAUUCCGAUCGGAUGUCCGCACUAAGUUCGGCAUCAAUAUGGUGACCUCCCGGGAACGGGGGACCACCAGGUUGCCUAAGGCGGGGUGAACCGGCCCAGGUCUGAAACGGAGCAGGUCAAAACUCCCGUGCUGAUCAGUAGUGGGAUUGCACCUGUGAAUAGCCACUGCACUCCAGCCUGGGCUGGAGAACAAGAACGAGACCCCAUCUCUU
Molecule: unclassified non-coding RNA, 306 nt
Organism: Callithrix jacchus (white-tufted-ear marmoset)
Lineage: Eukaryota; Metazoa; Chordata; Mammalia; Primates; Cebidae
Rfam family: Metazoan signal recognition particle RNA
About the family: The signal recognition particle (SRP) is a universally conserved ribonucleoprotein. It is involved in the co-translational targeting of proteins to membranes.
Source: Ensembl